Molecule: ribosomal RNA, 551 nt
Filed under: Anaplasma bovis
Lineage: Bacteria; Pseudomonadati; Pseudomonadota; Alphaproteobacteria; Rickettsiales; Anaplasmataceae
Description: bacterial SSU rRNA
Rfam family: Bacterial small subunit ribosomal RNA
Source: RNAcentral
CUCGUAGCUUGCUAUGAGAAUAAUUAGUGGCAGACGGGUGAGUAAUGCAUAGGAAUCUACCUAGUAGUAUAGGAUAGCCACUAGAAAUGGUGGGUAAUACUGUAUAAUCCCUGCGGGGGAAAGAUUUAUCGCUACAUGAUGAGCCUAUGUUAGAUUAGCUAGUUGGUGGGGUAAUGGCCUACCAAGGCAGUGAUCUAUAGCUGGUCUGAGAGGAUGAUCAGCCACACUGGAACUGAGACACGGUCCAGACUCCUACGGGAGGCAGCAGUGGGGAAUAUUGGACAAUGGGCGCAAGCCUGAUCCAGCUAUGCCGCGUGAGUGAGGAAGGCCUUAGGGUUGUAAAACUCUUUCAGUGGGGAAGAUAAUGACGGUACCCACAGAAGAAGUCCCGGCAAACUCCGUGCCAGCAGCCGCGGUAAUACGGAGGGGGCAAGCGUUGUUCGGAAUUAUUGGGCGUAAAGGGCAUGUAGGUGGUUUGGUAAGUUAAAGGUGAAAUGCCAGGGCUUAACCCUGGAGCUGCUUUUAAUACUGCCAGACUGGAGUCCGGGAGA